GGGCCCGCACAAGCAGCGGAGCGUGUGGUUUAAUUCGUAUGUUACACGAAGAACCUUACCAGGGUUUGACAUGCAAGUGGUAGGAAGCCGAAAGGUGACCGACCCUUCGGGGAGCUUGCACAGGUGCUGCAUGGCUGUCGUCAGCUCGUGUCGUGAGAUGUUCGGUUAAGUCCGCUAACGAGCGCAACCCUCGCUGUGUGUUAUAUGUGUCACACGGGACUGCCGGUCUUAAGCCGGAGGAAGGUGGGGAUGAUGUCAAGUCAGCAUGGCCUUUAUAUCCUGGGCUACACACACGCUACAAUGGCCAACACAAUAGGUUGCUAAGCCGCGAGGUGGCGCCAAUCCAUAAAGUUGGUCUCAGUUCAGAUUGUAGGCUGCAACCCGCCUGCAUGAAGAUGGAGUUGCUAGUAACCGCAGGUCAGCUAUACUGCGGUGAAUACGUUCCCGGGGCUU
This 453-nucleotide ribosomal RNA is filed under the name uncultured Leptolinea sp. RNAcentral's name for it is "bacterial SSU rRNA". It matches the Rfam family "Bacterial small subunit ribosomal RNA", at positions 917 to 1382 of the family's 1533-position model. Lineage: Bacteria; Bacillati; Chloroflexota; Anaerolineae; Anaerolineales; Anaerolineaceae. The record is from RNAcentral.